This 253-nucleotide ribosomal RNA is filed under the name uncultured bacterium. RNAcentral's name for it is "partial 16S ribosomal RNA". It matches the Rfam family "Bacterial small subunit ribosomal RNA", at positions 524 to 776 of the family's 1533-position model. The record is from RNAcentral.
UACGUAGGGCGCAAGCGUUGUCCGGAAUUAUUGGGCGUAAAGAGCUCGUAGGCGGCCUGUUACGUCUGCUGUGAAAUCCCGGGGCUUAACCCCGGGCGUGCAGUGGAUACGGGCAGGCUGGAGGCAGGCAGGGGAGAACGGAAUUCCCGGUGUAGCGGUGAAAUGCGCAGAUAUCAGGAGGAACACCGGUGGCGAAGGCGGGUCUCUGGGCCGUUACUGACGCUGAGGAGCGAAAGCGUGGGGAGCGAACAGG